Long non-coding RNA from Lycium ferocissimum, 107 nucleotides. RefSeq lists it as uncharacterized. The transcript has 2 exons. The record is from RefSeq and is a predicted model, not a curated record. Lineage: Eukaryota; Viridiplantae; Streptophyta; Magnoliopsida; Solanales; Solanaceae.
AGAUAAUGUAUUAGGUAGUGGAUACUAAGAUUGUACAUACUUGGAUACUAAGAUUGUACAUACUGUAUUAGAUCCAUAGUGUUGCUACAGAAAAUUUUCCUUUUCAA